RNAcentral lists this ribosomal RNA (253 nucleotides) under uncultured bacterium. Its description in RNAcentral is "partial 16S ribosomal RNA". It matches the Rfam family "Bacterial small subunit ribosomal RNA", at positions 524 to 776 of the family's 1533-position model. The record is from RNAcentral.
GACGAACCGUCCUAACGUUGUUCGGAAUCACUGGGCUUAAAGGGCGCGUAGGCGGACCACAAAGUCCGGGGUGAAAUCUUUCGGCUUAACCGGAAAAUUGCCUUGGAUACUGGUGGUCUCGAGGGAGGUAGGGGCAUGUGGAACUUCCGGUGGAGCGGUGAAAUGUGUUGAUAUCGGAAGGAACGCCGGUGGCGAAAGCGACGUGCUGGACCUCUUCUGACGCUGAGGCGCGAAAGCCAGGGGAGCAAACGGG